Molecule: ribosomal RNA, 396 nt
Filed under: uncultured bacterium
Lineage: Bacteria
Description: bacterial SSU rRNA
Rfam family: Bacterial small subunit ribosomal RNA
Source: RNAcentral
GACGAACGCUGGCGGCGUGCUUAACACAUGCAAGUCGAGCGGUAAGGCCCUUUCGGGGGUACACGAGCGGCGAACGGGUGAGUAACACGUGGGUGACCUGCCCUCAGCUCUGGGAUAAGCCUGGGAAACCGGGUCUAAUACUGGAUAUGACUCCAUGACGCAUGUUGUGGGGUGGAAAGCCUUGUGCGGCUGAGGAUGGGCCCGCGGCCUAUCAGCUUGUUGGUGGGGUGAGGCCUACCAAGGCGACGACGGGUAGCCGGCCUGAGAGGGCGACCGGCCACGCUGGGACUGAGACACGGCCCAGACUCCUACGGGAGGCAGCAGUGGGGAAUCUUGCGCAAUGGGCGAAAGCCUGACGCAGCGACGCCGCGUGAGGGAUGACGGCCUGGUGUAACU